Molecule: small nuclear RNA, 128 nt
Filed under: Hucho hucho (huchen)
Lineage: Eukaryota; Metazoa; Chordata; Actinopteri; Salmoniformes; Salmonidae
Description: Flavo-1 RNA (ENSHHUG00000010652.1)
Rfam family: Flavo-1 RNA
Source: Rfam by way of RNAcentral
CCCUAGCCCCGAUAGCAGUGAAAAUCCUUUUCUUUUUUAAAGAAAAAAAAAGAAAAGAUUACUUCACUUAAUUUUCAUUUUAAGCGGAGUUCAGUGAACUUCGUUUGUAACGAAUAGCGGGAAAUAGC